RNAcentral lists this long non-coding RNA (1458 nucleotides) under Homo sapiens (human). Its description in RNAcentral is "HSALNT0347123". Lineage: Eukaryota; Metazoa; Chordata; Mammalia; Primates; Hominidae. The record is from RNAcentral.
AGCUGGAUGGGUGAAGUGUUCCCUCAGUUCACAUAGACCAGGCUUCCUCUUUAGAGGCAUAAGCUGUAAAACAGGAGAGUCUGUUUUAAGAGGAUCUGUUUGAAGUUUAAUGUAACUGAAGUCCAUGCACCUGAAGCCAUUAAUUGAUAUAAGUGAAGUAAGUCUUUGGGUUUCCGGUAGCUCUGACUCAGAUUCUGCUUGCCUCUUCUCCAUGAGAUUACCAAGGCAUCAGGGCAGAGACUCCCUGAGGCUAUGCUAGAAGGGUACCAUUUGAAAAGGAAGUGUAUGACCCACCGUGAAAUGGAACUGGUAGCUGGUCACCCAGGUGCUCUUCCUUGUUAACUGAUGAGAGCGAUUAUUAUGUGAGAACUUUAACAACCUGCCAAAGGAUCCCGGGGCAAGAAUGAGAGCUGAACCAUUGAAAAGCUGAGCAUCGAAGUGCCUGGGAAGCCCAAAACUCAGCACAUUCAUGCUUUUGCUGGUUUUUGACCAUUGAGAAGAAAAAAGAGUCAGCAACCAGGGAGCAGGAUGAGUGGAUCUGGUUCAGAACAUCUGUGAACACAGAGGGAGUGGAAACUUCACUUUCAACAUCAUCAGCCAACUUCCCUCCCAUUACAAUUCUAUCUCAAGAUCAAGGUCAUGCAACAAAACCAGCAGUGGCCACAUCCACUACUCCUACAGUUCCGUUUCAGAGGCCAUCGGAGCUCUACAUCUAUUAUUUACUACCGAUAUCCACAUCAAGCCUCCCUCCCUUGCUCUUCAUGAAAUGCAUCCACGAUGGGACAUUGAUCUCAUUAUUCUGUGAGGAUCUGGUUGUUUGUCUGCAUCUUUCUCUACAUCUGGGAUCUGAAAUUUUCUUAUUGGAUAACGAAUCCCCAUCACAUACACACAUGAUAAAUAUUUGUUUAAUGGAAAAACAAAUGCAUGAGAGUGGCAUGAUGAAAACAGGUGAGUCUGGAUUAAAGCAAUUGGUCAUCUGUUUGGUCCAAUUCCCAGCAACCCAGGUUUGCAAAAGUGUGUGUUGCAAGAGCUGCUCUUGCUAUGAAAUGAUGCCAUGAAUGUAUAACCUGUUACUUACUUUAGAAUCCUUUUUACUUAAAAAAUAAUCUGACAAUGUCCAUUUCAAUACGUGGUUUUAAUGACAUGACCCCCUAACUACACUUUCUGAUCUGCAAAUUCCUGUUCUCAUGUAUUGUAUGGUUUUACAAACUGCACCUGUUUGAAAUGAACACAAAGCAAGAAACUGUUUAUGCAGAAAAACCAAGUGCUCUGCAUUCUCCAGUUCCUCAAGGAGAAUGUUUAUGUGGUUUACCUUGCGAAGCCAAAGGUCUUUUGCAGCACUUAUGCACCUGAAGGAAGCCCUGAGGGAUGGCAGAGUUAGCCUUCUGGUGGGUGAAGGUGCCAUGUGUCUUGUCUAUUUUAUCUCCUUCACCCACUACCUACCUCCUCCACCACCCC